AGAGCCAGCGAAGCAGUUGCGGAAAGUAUCGCUGCGGCGAUGGUUUCUGAGGAAAGUCCGGGCACCCGAAAGACGCAAACUUGCUGGGUAACGCCCAGUGCGAGCGAUCGUGAGGAUAGUGCCACAGAAAAAUACCGCCGGGUCAAUUGACUCAAUUUUCCCGGUAAGGGUGCAAAGGUGCGGUAAGAGCGCACCAGCAGCAUCGAGAGGUGCUGGCUCGGUAAACCCCGGUUGGGUGCAAGGUGGUGGGAGUAUGGUUGGUCUUUUUCCAGUCCCAUGCCAUCGGCUACGGCUGAUGGAGAACCGCUUGAGGUAGUAGGUAACUGCUAUCCCAGAUAGAUAACUGCACUACUUAAGCCUGGCUUUGGUAGAACAGAACCCGGCUUAUGUCUGACUCUUCCC
RNAcentral lists this RNase P RNA (402 nucleotides) under Romeriopsis navalis LEGE 11480. RNAcentral describes it as "Bacterial RNase P class A". It matches the Rfam family "Bacterial RNase P class A". Rfam says of the family: Ribonuclease P (RNase P) is a ubiquitous endoribonuclease, found in archaea, bacteria and eukarya as well as chloroplasts and mitochondria. Its best characterised activity is the generation of mature 5'-ends of tRNAs by cleaving the 5'-leader elements of precursor-tRNAs. Lineage: Bacteria; Bacillati; Cyanobacteriota; Cyanophyceae; Leptolyngbyales; Leptolyngbyaceae. The record is from Rfam by way of RNAcentral.